GUGGGGAAUAUUGCACAAUGGAGGAAACUCUGAUGCAGCGACGCCGCGUGAAGGAUGAAGUAUUUCGGUAUGUAAACUUCUAUCAGCAGGGAAGAAAAUGACGGUACCUGACUAAGAAGCCCCGGCUAACUACGUGCCAGCAGCCGCGGUAAUACGUAGGGGGCAAGCGUUAUCCGGAUUUACUGGGUGUAAAGGGAGCGUAGACGGCACGGCAAGCCAGAUGUGAAAGCCCGGGGCUCAACCCCGGGACUGCAUUUGGAACUGCUGAGCUAGAGUGUCGGAGAGGCAAGUGGAAUUCCUAGUGUAGCGGUGAAAUGCGUAGAUAUUAGGAGGAACACCAGUGGCGAAGGCGGCUUGCUGGACGAUGACUGACGUUGAGGCUCGAAAGCGUGGGGAGCAAACAGGAUUAGAAACCCCAGUAGUCC
Molecule: ribosomal RNA, 425 nt
Filed under: uncultured bacterium
Lineage: Bacteria
Description: bacterial SSU rRNA
Rfam family: Bacterial small subunit ribosomal RNA
Source: RNAcentral